This 495-nucleotide ribosomal RNA is filed under the name uncultured bacterium. RNAcentral's name for it is "partial 16S ribosomal RNA". It matches the Rfam family "Bacterial small subunit ribosomal RNA", at positions 28 to 507 of the family's 1533-position model. The record is from RNAcentral.
GACGAACGCUGGCGGCGUGCCUAAUACAUGCAAGUAGAACGCUGAAGGAGGAGCUUGCUUCUCUGGAUGAGUUGCGAACGGGUGAGUAACGCGUUGGUAACCUGCCUGGUAGCGGGGGAUAACUAUUGGAAACGAUAGCUAAUACCGCAUAAGAGUAGAUGUUGCAUGACAUUUGCUUAAAAGGUGCAAUUGCAUCACUACCAGAUGGACCUGCGUUGUAUUAGCUAGUUGGUGGGGUAACGGCUCACCAAGGCGACGAUACAUAGCCGACCUGAGAGGGUGAUCGGCCACACUGGGACUGAGACACGGCCCAGACUCCUACGGGAGGCAGCAGUAGGGAAUCUUCGGCAAUGGACGGAAGUCUGACCGAGCAACGCCGCGUGAGUGAAGAAGGUUUUCGGAUCGUAAAGCUCUGUUGUAAGAGAAGAACGAGUGUGAGAGUGGAAAGUUCACACUGUGACGGUAUCUUACCAGAAAGGGACGGCUAACUACGUG